RNAcentral lists this long non-coding RNA (534 nucleotides) under Nicotiana benthamiana. RNAcentral describes it as "long non-coding RNA (NBEN_LNC038918)". The record is from RNAcentral. Lineage: Eukaryota; Viridiplantae; Streptophyta; Magnoliopsida; Solanales; Solanaceae.
CAGAAGAAACAAUUAACUAGAUUACAAUAGCAUAGUAAGGAAGCGUCCCAUAUAGAUUCCUCCAACAGAGAUAUAACAAGAACAAGAUUAGUGUUGGUUUUUGCCGUGGUUAGUCGACAAGUUGAUCUCGUCGGCGCCGGCUACUGCUAAUGUAGAAAAAAACCCAGUUUUCUGGCGAAAUUUUAUUACCCACUUUAGGUGGCUUGGUUAAUUAAUUGUGUAAUAUUUUUCAAAUCAACCAUAUCCAUGGAAGGUGAAUCGUGACGAAUCUGGUUUUUAGUGGUGGUGGGUAAUUUCCGGUAGAUUGCAAGUGGAUAUAGUAGGAAGGAGAGAGAUAGAUUAUUUUCUGGAGGUGAGCUGUCCAGUUACUAUCGCAGCACCGACAAAGACCAUUUUUUGGGCGAAAUUUUAUUACCUUGUGUAAUGGCGGAGGGUAAGGGAGAAGAGGGGUUCUGAUGAUAGGGAAAAUCAUAGAGAGAGAAAAAAGAACAAAAAUUUGGAAUGAAUAUGAACUAUUUAGAAAGAAAGAUGAGG